GCUGUCUCUGUUCCUCUCUUAAUUGUAUACUGAGAGCUUUAGCUGCAAAGUAUUGUGCAUUCAAAACCCUAAAGAUGAGACAACCAUGGCAUCAGCUUCUUCUCCGAGCUCGAAGUCGCUCUUGGGCUCGUCUUCCUGUUCACCCUUCGCAUUCCCAGGUACAAUCCGAAUCCAAUCUUCAAUCUUUUCGCUUUCUCACAUCACUCCUCCACAACCAUUCUAUUCACGACGACAAGAUUUCACCUUCACUGGUACCCACUGCUUUUGUUCCUCGCUUCUUUGCGAACACCAUUAACCCCACAAAUCCCUCCAUUUUUUCUCGGAGUUUCUCAUCCGAACAGGCUUUUGAACUUAAGGAUUCCGAUCAUGCUAUCAUAUCCGAUAUUUUCUCCAAACACAGGGGUGUGGAUGAUAUCAGGAAGGACUUGGAGUUGAAUAAUAUUGUUAUUAGCCAUGAAUUGAUAUUGAGUGUUUUAGGGAAGCUGGAUAGUUGUCCCAAUGUUGCAAGAAGGUUUUUUGAUUGGGUUUUGGAGAGUGACGGUGAGAGGUUGAGCUCCAAAUCGUAUAACUUGAUGUUGGGUAUUCUGGGUGUUAAUGGGCUUAUGCAGGAGUUUUGGGAUUUGGUUCAUAUGAUGAAGAAAAAAGGGUAUGGUGUAUCUAAAGGCGUGCGUGACAGGGUUUUGGAGAAAUUUGAGAAGGAAGGUAUGGAUGGUGAUGUUGAGAAGUUAAGAGGGGUCUUUGCCUUGGGGUCCAUAGACAAUUCGUCGGAGAAGAUUUGUUCAAGGAUGUCUAAGAUUAUUAGAAAUGAGGUGUGGGGGGAUGAUGUUGAGAAGCAACUACAGGAUUUGAAUGUGACAUUUUCAAGUGAUUUGGUUAAAUUGGUGUUGGAUAGUCUAGGUACAGAGCCGACGAAAGCGUUGAUAUUUUUUCGAUGGCUAGACGAGAAUGGGCUGUUUAGGCAUGAUCAGCAAACUUAUAAUGCUGUGGCACAGGUUUUGGGUAGGGAAGAUUGCAUUGACAGGUUUUGGAAAGUAGUAGAUGAAAUGAGGAGUAAAGGAUAUGAUAUGGAGGUGGAGGUUUAUGCUAAGGUUUUAGGACGUUUCUGCAAGAGGAAAAUGUUGAAGGAUGCUGUGGAUUUGUAUGAAUACGCAAUGGCUGGUGCAAAUAAACCUUCCGUGCAUUGUUGUACCUUUCUAUUGAAGAAAAUAGUUGUAGAUAAGAAGCUUGAUAUGGGUCUGUUUUACAGAGUUGUGAGGAUUUUUACAGAGAGUGGGAAUGCAUUAACAAAUUCUAUGCUUGAUUCAGUUCUUAAGUCUCUAAACAGCGUUGGUAGAUAUGGAGAGUGCAGCAAGGUUUUGAAAGCAAUGGAGGAAGGUGGGUAUGUUGUUAGUAAUAAUCUACAGAGCAAAAUCGCAUUCCAGCUCGGUAGUGCUGGCAAAAAGGAUGAAGCGAUUGAGAUUGUGGAUGGUAUGGAAGUGUUUGGGAGCAGUUCUAAGACAUGGGCUUCAUUAAUUGAGGGACUGUGUGUAGCUGGGGAUCUUGAUAAGGCUUCUAGUUGCUUACAAAAGAUGGUGGAGAAAGAGGGUGCCAACUCUGCUGGUUAUGCUUUUGAUUCGCUCGUAAUUGCAUAUUGCAGAAAGAACAAAGCAAUGGAUGCUUACAAGCUUCUAAAUGAAUUAGUCAGUGAAAAACAGUUAAAGCCAUGGCAUAGUACAUACAAAGUUUUGAUAAGUAAGCUACUGGUUGAGGGUGGAUUUGGAUAUGCUUUGAAUAUUUUGGAAAUGAUGAAAAAUCAUGGAUUCCCGCCCUUUGUGGAUCCAUUUGUUGAGUAUGUUUCGAAGUCUGGAACAGGUGAUGAUGCCGUAGCGUUUCUGAAGGCAAUGACUUCAAAGAGGUUUCCAUCUAUCUCUGUGGUUCUCCGUGUAUUUGAAGCCUAUUUCAAGGCUGGAAGGCAUACUGAAGCUCAAGAUUUCCUUUCUAAAUGCCCUGGAUACAUCCGUAACCACGCUGAUGUUUUGAAUCUCUUCUGUUCCAUGAACACUGUAAAAGGUUAAGUAGGCGUCUUGAAGUUUCAUUGACAACCUGUUGGAAGAGUUUCUAUAGACUUCCUGAUCAUGAUCUCACUCGUAAAGUCUUGGAGAAGACAGGCUUUGCCAAACUGGCGGCCAAAUGGAUAGAAUGAGACUAAACGAUGAGCAAAACGUGAUGAGUGUGACUCAACAUGGCAGUGGACAAGGUUUAGUGUCAUUCUCCACGAAAUUUUUUCUCUCUUAGAAAAAUUAGAGGAAAUUUCUUCUUGGAGGUUUCUGUAAGAUACAUUUUUCAACCGCAUUUAUGAUUAUUUAUUUUUUAUUUUUUUAAUGAAUUGGGAAUUUGGAGCAAAGAAAUAAAGGACAAGUAAUGUUGUAACAGACAGUGUGACAAAAUGCCAUCAUCAGCUCGAUGAUUAGUGGCUAUUGCUUCCCAUCCAUGUGCGUAGCAUCUCUGUUUUUACAAUAAGGCUCUCUAUGCAGUUGAAGGGGGACUAAAAAAAUUGAAUCAACCCCACUCUAAGUUUAGCUUUAGAUUAGCUAUAGAUGAUGAUCAAUUCUAUCGUGUAUGAAACAUAGACAGUAUGAUAAUGAUUUGUCAUCCAUUGUUAUGGUUCUUGUUUGUGUUCAUAAACAUUGAAACUUUUGUAGAUUCAGUUGUUU
RNA transcript from Ziziphus jujuba (common jujube), 2693 nucleotides. It is a transcript of the gene named pentatricopeptide repeat-containing protein At3g02490, mitochondrial, with no coding region annotated. The transcript has 3 exons. The record is from RefSeq and is a predicted model, not a curated record. Lineage: Eukaryota; Viridiplantae; Streptophyta; Magnoliopsida; Rosales; Rhamnaceae.